AGUGAACGCUGGCGGUAGACCUAACACAUGCAAGUCGAACGGCAGCACAGUAAGAGCUUGCUCUUACGGGUGGCGAGUGGCGGACGGGUGAGGAAUACAUCGGAAUCUACUUUUUCGUGGGGGAUAACGUAGGGAAACUUACGCUAAUACCGCAUACGACCUACGGGUGAAAGCAGGGGAUCUUCGGACCUUGCGCGAUUGAAUGAGCCGAUGUCGGAUUAGCUAGUUGGCGGGGUAAAGGCCCACCAAGGCGACGAUCCGUAGCUGGUCUGAGAGGAUGAUCAGCCACACUGGAACUGAGACACGGUCCAGACUCCUACGGGAGGCAGCAGUGGGGAAUAUUGGACAAUGGGCGCAAGCCUGAUCCAGCCAUACCGCGUGGGUGAAGAAGGCCUUCGGGUUGUAAAGCCCUUUUGUUGGGAAGGAAAAGCAGCAGGUUAAUACCCCGCUGUUCUGACGGUACCCAAAGAAUAAGCACCGGCUAACUUCGUG
Molecule: ribosomal RNA, 492 nt
Filed under: uncultured bacterium
Lineage: Bacteria
Description: partial 16S ribosomal RNA
Rfam family: Bacterial small subunit ribosomal RNA
Source: RNAcentral